RNAcentral lists this ribosomal RNA (433 nucleotides) under uncultured bacterium. RNAcentral describes it as "partial 16S ribosomal RNA". It matches the Rfam family "Bacterial small subunit ribosomal RNA", at positions 29 to 507 of the family's 1533-position model. The record is from RNAcentral.
AACGAACGCUGGCGGCAUGCCUAACACAUGCAAGUCGAACGAGACCUUCGGGUCUAGUGGCGCACGGGUGCGUAACGCGUGGGAACCUGCCCUUAGGUUCGGAAUAACUCCCCGAAAGGGGUGCUAAUACCGGAUAAUGUCUUCGGACCAAAGAUUUAUCGCCUUUGGAUGGGCCCGCGUUGGAUUAGCUAGUUGGUAGGGUAAAAGCCUACCAAGGCGACGAUCCAUAGCUGGUCUGAGAGGAUGAUCAGCCACACUGGGACUGAGACACGGCCCAGACUCCUACGGGAGGCAGCAGUGGGGAAUAUUGGAAAAUGGGCGAAAGCCUGAUCCAGCAAUGCCGCGUGAGUGAUGAAGGCCUUAGGGUUGUAAAGCUCUUUUAACCGGGAUGAUAAUGACAGUACCGGGAGAAUAAGCGCCGGCUAACUCCGUG